RNAcentral lists this ribosomal RNA (117 nucleotides) under Labrus bergylta (ballan wrasse). Lineage: Eukaryota; Metazoa; Chordata; Actinopteri; Labriformes; Labridae. The record is from RNAcentral.
GCUUACGGCCAUAACCCUGAACACGCCCGAUCUCGUCCGAUCUCGGAAGCUAAGCAGGGUCGGGCCUGGUUAGUACUUGGAUGGGAGACCGCCUGGGAAUACCAGGUGCUGUAAGCU